AUUUUCUUUUUAACGAUGUGUGCAUGUGCUCGCUUUCUUUCACGAGUAAUACCCGGACAAAGAUCAUAUCUGAAUAUGUUGAACACAUUAUAUAUCCUGGCUUUGUGCGCAUUGUGCAGCAAGAAUAUUCAAGCGACUCCGGUAGGAUAUACGAUUACGGCAGAAAACGACGAAACUGUGGUACUGGCGCAGACAGAAGAAGAGUUCAGAGAUGAUUGGAAUUACAAAUUACAACAAAGCAACAUACCAUUAUUAACCGCCCUAAUAAAAAAUCACACUUUACCACCGACGGCUGAUGGCAGUACUGGCAGACUCUUGUGGGGCCUGGAUCAAGAUAAGUCGUCCCACUUACCGCCUUUCGUGGACAAAGCAUUGAAACUGUUAAAUUUAAAGCAGGUCGCCUUUGAAAUUGAGAAUUCUGUCAUGUCUAAAGUAUCAUGCACGGCUUGUCGGGCAGGUGCUGGUUUGCUUCAACAUUACACCAAAACGGGAAAAUCUGAGAAGGAAAUAAAAAAGACCAUUUACCAAUUUUGUGUCAAUCUAAAAAUCCAAUCCUCGAGAGUGUGUGAAGGAAUAACCGAGCUAUUCGCUGGUGAAGUGAUCUACGUUCUGGGAAAAGUGAAUAUUGGACCAGAUGAAAUUUGCAGUUUUGUAAUUGGAGAUGCUUGUGGCGAUGUCUACAAUCCAUACCAUGAGUGGGAAGUGGUUUUUCCACCAGUUCCAAAACCUCCAGUUGUUGAACCAAACGUUCCAGAAGCAAAUGCCCCAACUUUCAAAGUUUUGCACAUAUCGGACACCCAUUACGAUCCUUAUUAUAUGGAAGGUGCAAACGCAGACUGUUCAGAGCCUCUUUGCUGCAGAUUAACCAACGGACAAGCUCUAACAAAAGAAUCUGCGGCUGGCAAAUGGGGUGAUUAUAGGAAGUGUGAUACUCCCAAAAUUACCGUCGACAACAUGUUGCAACACAUACAAGAUACUCACCCUGAUAUAGAUUACAUUAUGUGGACGGGAGAUUUGCCACCUCACGACAUAUGGAAUCAGACAAAGGACGAAAAUAUCAAAAUUCUAAAAGAAACGGUCAAGCAAAUGUCGAUUAUGUUCCCAGGCAUACCGAUAUUUCCAGCUUUAGGCAAUCAUGAAGCUGCUCCUGUAAACAGCUUUCCUCCACCUUUUGUAAGCAAUCCCGAUAGUUCCAUCGCUUGGCUCUAUGAUGAACUUGAUGCUCAAUGGCGCAAAUGGUUACCGAGCUCCGUGAGCAAUACAGUCCGAAGAGGAGCGUUUUACUCAGUAUUAGUCAGGCCUGGAUUUAGGCUCAUUUCACUGAACAUGAAUUAUUGCAAUAACAAGAACUGGUGGCUACUUCUAAACAGUACCGAUCCAGCUACUGAGCUGCAGUGGUUUAUUUAUGAGCUACAAUCGGCUGAAUUCAAUGGCGAAAAAGUGCAUGUGAUUGGCCAUAUUCCACCAGGUCACUCAGAUUGUUUAAAAGUUUGGUCCAGAAAUUAUUAUGCCAUUAUUAGUCGCUACGAAUCCACAAUUAUUUCACAAUUUUUUGGACACACUCACUAUGAUGAAUUUGAAGUGUUUUACGAUCAUACAGAUUUAGCCAGACCGAUAAAUGUCGCUUAUGUUGGCCCGUCAGUAUCUCCUUACUACGAUCUGAAUCCAGGGUACCGCAUUUACUACGUGGAUGGAGAUCAUGACAAAACAACUCGGGCAGUUGUUGAUCAUGAAACCUGGACUAUGAAUCUAAAGGAGGCAAACAUCUACGGAUACCCGAUUUGGUUUCAGUUGUACAGUGCGAGACAAUCGUUCGGGAUGGACUCUUUAAGACCUCGAGAUUGGGAUGAUUUUGUAGAACGAAUGACCAACGACCCCAAAUUAUUUGAGUUGUUUUACAAGUAUUAUUUCAAAGCUAGUCCGGUAAGACCAAUGUGCGAUAUGGAAUGCAAGAAGAAAAUUCUAUGCGAUUUACAUUCGGGACGUUCUCACGACCGCAAGAAUUUAUGCCAAUCUAUUGAAUCGCGAAUAGAUUCAACAUCCACCACAUGGAGAGAUUGGUUCUACAACACCAUUUCUGUCUCGUACGUAUACAUCGAAUCUUAAGCGUUCUUAAAAUUCGAACGGUUCUGGUGAAAUUAACCAACGGAAACUUUAUCGCUUUUGUAAAUAUAUUUUCCACUAAUAACUUUUUAUUAUAGUCUGGUGUAGGAAUCCAGGACGUUUUUGUCCAACACAUUUGGCAUUGGCGUUUAAGUGUUUCAGUUAUAAUGUCGAUACCAAGACUGACAAUGCAGGUGCCAAAAUACGUCCUGGGCUUAGGGUAGUAACAAAUCAAAUUUAUAGAGAGAGUUCAAAUAUUUUUAAAUGUGAGAGAUCCGAAAAUUAGCUUAUUAAACUGCAGCCAGUCAAUAGAAAAUCAAGCUAAGGCUUAAAUACCAAUUAGUCCAGCAAUGUUUAUUACAUUUUAGUUAAAAGUGUUAAAUGUACAUCGGCGAUAAACAUUGAAAACAAUGUAGCAUAAGAAAGGAAAUGUAAAUGUGUAUAAAUUCAAAUGGGAAAAAUUUCAAUUGCUAAUACUUUAAAAGCCUUCACGUAGAAUAAUUUGUAGUCGCAUCCUGAGGCAAGUUUAGACUAACUGCAGAUGCGAACACGUUAAUGCAACAGGCUGUGUUAUUGAAAUCAAAAUAGGAUAAGAAUUUGGCUUAAAGACAUAAUUUAUUACAAUGUAACGCAAUUUAAUACUUUUGUACAUAUACGCAAUUAUUUAUAUAAAA
Molecule: RNA transcript, 2777 nt
Organism: Dendroctonus ponderosae (mountain pine beetle)
Lineage: Eukaryota; Metazoa; Arthropoda; Insecta; Coleoptera; Curculionidae
Gene name: sphingomyelin phosphodiesterase
Exons: 16
Source: RefSeq, a predicted model, not a curated record